CCUACGGGUGGCAGCAGUGGGGAAUAUUGGGCAAUGGAGGCAACUCUGACCCAGCAACGCCGCGUGAAUGAUGAAGGUCUUCGGAUUGUAAAGUUCUGUGAUGGGGGAUGAACACAAUGACGGUACCCCAAUAGCAAGCCACGGCUAACUACGUGCCAGCAGCCGCGGUAAUACGUAGGUGGCAAGCGUUAUCCGGAAUGACUGGGCGUAAAGGGUGCGUAGGUGGUUUAGUAAGUUGGCGGUGUAAUUCCGGGGCUCAACCUCGGCGCUACCGCCAAAACUAUUAGACUAGAGUGCAGGAGGGGUAAGUGGAAUUCCUAGUGUAGCGGUGGAAUGCGUAGAUAUUAGGAGGAACAUCAGGGGCGAAGGCAGCUUACUAAACAGUGACUGACAUUGAUGCUCGAAAGUGUGGGUAUCAAACAGGAUUAGAUACCCGGGUAGUC
RNAcentral lists this ribosomal RNA (443 nucleotides) under uncultured bacterium. RNAcentral's name for it is "partial 16S ribosomal RNA". It matches the Rfam family "Bacterial small subunit ribosomal RNA", at positions 338 to 795 of the family's 1533-position model. The record is from RNAcentral.